Molecule: long non-coding RNA, 841 nt
Filed under: Oreochromis niloticus (Nile tilapia)
Lineage: Eukaryota; Metazoa; Chordata; Actinopteri; Cichliformes; Cichlidae
Description: lncRNA (ENSONIG00000041573.1)
Source: RNAcentral
GGCCCAAAGAAUACUGAUAUGUGAAAGAAAAAGGAGGGAGGGGUUGGGGGGGGUGGCGGCGUAGAUACAGCAAACAAAAUGAUUACACAUUUUAGAGCAAUUUCUGGGUCCCGCGGUCAUAAUCAUUCUGUCGAUAGCCUUCCAGUGUGCAGGUGCGCUGAUACAGAUGGUUUUAUGAAGAUCCAUUAAAAAUAAUUUCGCUCAUCGCCAGGCCCAGGAGGGGCCCAACCCGACAACUGGGAGACGAGCCCAGAUGCCUGCUUAGGCUACAGCUCUAAGCACCCGCCCCGCAUCCCUGAUGUGGACCACCCUGUCACCAUGGAAACGCGGUCAAAUAAUAAAACCUGUCGAGGGUAGGUAGCGAGGCUUCUCGUGGACACGCGCGCACAAGCUUAGAAACAGACAUGACGUGCGCACGCACACAUCUCAAGGAGAGGAGCUCCGCUGGAGAAAGUUUAAAAAGCAGGCGUUUUCAACUUGGGCAAGAGUGAUGGCAGCUUUAAGAUAAAGUUUUUCCAGCGAUGCAAAUUCUUUGGAAAAAAAAAAUAAAAAUAGAACAGUGUUACAUAUACUGAGUGACACCUCCAGCUGCCAUCCAAAUCCACCGUCAUCCAGAUUAGCCCGGACACCGCCAGAUGCCUCACGGCCCGCAGAAGAAGAAAGGCAUAGCGAGACUCUCAUUCGUGCAAUCCACCUCCACCCCAUUGGUGCCUCACCCAAGUCGAACAUAGCUCCAUCUUCAUCUUCACCACCACCAACACCUGGACUCUGGCGUCCUGCUCUAAUGCCUAUGAUCACUGGGAUUUUGUUCUGUUGUGAUGGGUCAUCAUCUAAUCACCAA